RNAcentral lists this ribosomal RNA (426 nucleotides) under uncultured bacterium. RNAcentral's name for it is "partial 16S ribosomal RNA". It matches the Rfam family "Bacterial small subunit ribosomal RNA", at positions 354 to 796 of the family's 1533-position model. The record is from RNAcentral.
GUGAGGAAUUUUCCGCAAUGGGCGAAAGCCUGACGGAGCAAUGCCGCGUGAAGGAUGAAGGCCUAUGGGUUGUAAACUUCUUUUCUUAGAGAAGAAUAUUGACGGUAUCUGAGGAAUAAGCAUCGGCUAACUCUGUGCAAGCAGCCGCGGUAAGACAGAGGAUGCAAGCGUUAUCCGGAAUGAUUGGGCGUACAGCGUCUGUAGGUGGCUUCAAAAGUCUCCUGUCAAAGAUAAGGGCUGAACCCUGGGCCGGCAGGGGAAACGCGGAGGCUAGAGUUUAGGAGAGGCAGAGGGAAUUCCCGGUGGAGCGGUGAAAUGCGUAGAGAUCUGGAGGAACACCAAAGGCGAAAGCACUCUGCUGGGCCACAACUGACACUGAGGGACGAAAGCGAGGGGAGCAAAAGGGAUUAGAAACCCCGGUAGUCC